Long non-coding RNA from Phasianus colchicus (ring-necked pheasant), 2697 nucleotides. RefSeq lists it as uncharacterized. The record is from RefSeq and is a predicted model, not a curated record. Lineage: Eukaryota; Metazoa; Chordata; Aves; Galliformes; Phasianidae.
UGAAAAUGGUUAUAAACUGCAUCCAUAGUGGGCUCUGUGAGGCUACCCUGAAAAUAGGGUAUCUUACUUAGGAUAUGAUGAAGAAGAAGAAACAAACUUGACUUUGAAGAAGCUAUUGUAAUUUAUUUCCGAAGAUGACAACAAAUUACUUUGUGUUUGCAGUAAUCUGUGGUUGCUCAUUGUAGUUAUGUAAUUGAUCAUGCAAAUAUCAAAAUAUUAUUUAUAUAGUGACCAAAGCAUACUUGGCAGAAGUUCACAACAAAAAACAGAGAGAGCUCCUGUUCUUAAAUACUCUUUCAUAUUGGCAAGACACACAGGAAGAAGUCAUCCUCUUUCUCCAGCAUUCACUGACAUUAACAUUUAGAUGAAGCAUAGCGUUUCUCUGUGCACCUUGCCAGCAUCUACCUCGGCUGAAGCCUCAAGUCAUUUGAAGACACCCUCUUUCACCUUUAUAAGAGAGGGGAAAUAUAACAAAUGGAUAGAGUGUUUGAAAAGCCUCAAUGGAAGAUUUCUUCAAAGAAAAAAAAAGAGGGAAGAAAUCAGCAGCUAACAAACAGAAGGUGUGAAUGAAGAAGCCUCUUUUUUGUUAAGACAACCAUGAUGUGCAGAGAAGAGUGGGAGAGCACAGGAAGGUGAUUUCCAACAGCCAAUCAUUUCAAUCAACACCUAUUGACUAUUACAACAUAUCAGUACUUAUCCCCAGCUGGGAAGUUCUUCAUUAUCAUUCCUCUUCAGUCCAUUUGCUUAUAUGGACCUUGAGACCCCAAAACAUGUAUAAGUUCCUACCUUUUCUUAAAAAAAAAAAAUCCACAACACUUUGUCAUCCACUUUUUAAUUCUCAUUUUAUCCAGGGGAGAUCUCAAUCCACAAGCUGUACAUAGCUCUUCACAUCACUGUUUCUUAGUGGCUUGGAAGAACUGCUGCCUUGAUGCUGAGAUUAGCAACAGUGCCAGUCACAGGACAGCCCUUGGGCUUGACAUGAUGUUUGAGCUGGGAUAUAUACAAGUAGGUUGAAACUUUUCCUCUUCUGCCUCAUUCUGCAAAAAGAGAGCCACCAAUGUGCUUUGCUCCUCUGCUAUGGGCUUCUACAGGAAAACCUCAGCAAGAUUUUGUCCACGUGUGAAAUGCAGCAUCAGAUCUCAGCUUUCUUAAGGGAUGUGUUACAUUGUAAAAAAAAAAACCCAAAAGCAAACAACAUACAGAGGCAUGGGUGGUACUUGUUGUAGUGUUUCACAACUCGGACAAAACUGUCUGAUGAAAAGCUAUACAGAAGUGUGUCCAGCAACCCUGACUUAUGGUUAGCAGAAUAGGUACAACGUGCUCUAGUUUCUGGAAAUCAUGCUAGCUUUAGAUUUGCUAACCCACAUGAAAAAAAAAAAAAAAGAAAGAAAAGUUUAACCAUGUGACACAAAAUAGCCAUUGUUUCAUCUGUUUUCCAUACAGCAUUACUGAAACAAGUCUUGUAAGUCACCUUGUGGCAGACUGCUUUAAGCAAUACUCCAUUAAAUAUUUGUCAGAUGAGGGUUGUUUGGAAAGUGUGAAAAUCCUGUUCCAGCUGCCUGCCCUUUGCAGCUGAUAAGUCCAAUCUGCCUGCCCAAGAGAACACCUAUCUAUCUGGUUUGUCUCUGAAGAAUGUGGAAGAAUUUUUAUAGUGAACUCUCUAUCUUCUAUCUCUCAGACAAUCCUGUUGAGACCUCUGAUCCCUACUUUCACCCUUUACUUUACUUUGAGUUCAGAUGACCUGGGACAAAACCAAGCAUGGAACAGGUUUGCUGCAGGCAAACAGGUGUCACAAAUUCAUCAAUGAUCUUCCCUGGAAAAAAAAAAAAAAACAAAACAAAACUUUUUAUGCAGGUUCUAAUGGAGUAGAUUGAAGAGAUUGCAGGAACAGUUUCCAAGCUCUAAAAUGCAGUGGUCUGCUCUCACCCUACUCCACCCACCUCUCAAAAGAAGCUGGGCAGCUAGUGCUUGUCUCAGGUGCAAACAGCCUGCUGUGAGCUGAGAUCUGAGCCAGUGUGUCUUCAGGAUCCUUCAUUUGCUCAGGUCAGCAACAGCAGAAAGGAAUGGUACCUUUGCAAGGAUGGUAUCACUCAGGUGCGUCUUUCCUGAUCUACUUUUAGACACAGCUGUGUAUGUUUCAAUAGUGACUUAAAGGUCUGACUCUUGUGCACUUCACUGCUAUAUUCAGUCUUCAUCAUGGACCAUUUGUAAAUGCCCACAGGGAAAAGAUGAACAUAUCUGCCUCUUUAUCCCAUGGAACUGGGCUUUGAAACAAAGCAACUUUGACAAAUAGCAGGUUGCAUUUGAUCUGUCUUUCAGAAGAUCUGGGACCUUGGCUAGCAGUACACAAAGCCCUUGCUUUGAAAUGAAUGCAGAACAGCCAUCAGGAGCUACAGUUAGGACUUACACUGCUGUAGGUGAACAUAUCACAUAAAUAAGUAGAGAAAUAUUGAGAACAAGGAUGAAGUACGUUGAUCUCAGGCUUAGCUGUGGACCUCCAUGUGUCAAACAGCAACUGUGAGGAGAAUAAUUUCCCAGUAUGUCUUCAUAAAGUCAUGAAUCAUAAUGUAUCUGACCUUCUGUGGGCAUUUUAAUAGCUUCUUAAAACAGGGCUAAGUGAACAUCAGGCUGGGAUGUGGUGUUGACAUUCCUUAAGAAGUAGGUGAAGCAAACCCAAGGAUGGAUGGGGAUGCCAGC